Molecule: small RNA, 1782 nt
Filed under: Pongo abelii (Sumatran orangutan)
Lineage: Eukaryota; Metazoa; Chordata; Mammalia; Primates; Hominidae
Description: processed transcript
Source: RNAcentral
AGUCCUGCCAACAGCUUUGAGUGAGCAUGGACGCAGAUCCUCUCCCAGUGGAGCAUUUGGAUGACCACGACUCUGGCUAACACCUUACUUACAGCCUUGGGAAAGAUUCUGAGUCAGAGGCAUCCAGCUAAAUUGACCCACAGACACGGUAAAACAGGGAUUUCUUCUUGGUUUGGAUCCACUGUUGAUUUUAGGUUACAAAAAGAUGGCAGAUUGCAUCUUGGGCACUCUCUUGUAUGCCUCUUUGGAGAAGCCAGUUUUCAUGUUGUGAGAGGCCUGGCAGACGGGCCCAAAUGAGUUCGCUGGGAAGUGGAUCACAGAAACCAUGAGGUCCAGAUUUAUGGCUGCAAAACAAUGAUUUAAACAGUAUUCAUUCUGGAACAUCACUCAAUUUCACUAGUACUAAGUACUUUAAAGCAAAUCCCAGACAACAUGCGAAUACUUCAGUAUGUAUCUCUACGGGAUAGAAAAGUCCCUCCACUGGCUACAGUGACUUUGCUCUCACCCGCUUUGGAGAAGAAGUGAGCUACUUUUCCUGUGUAUGAGUGACAGCAGCAUGUUUUCAUCACUAGUGUUGCCAUUUGGAAACUUAAGCAUGAAUGGAAGAGUGAGUGUGAGUGGUGAGAAAUCAAAUUGAUGAACUGAGUUGGAUAGUGUGUAUGGAUUCUCUUAUCUGCCCUCCUACCCUCAGUCUAGAUCACUGGAGAGGCCAAUAAUAAAACAUUUCUCUUGCAGUUCAAAUUCUGGAUGAGAAUUCGCUUCUGCAAAUUAGAAGCAAUUCAUCUAAGAUAAUGAACACAGAAGCAAAGCAGAAGCCAUUUUCCUACAUCCUUUCGACUGUUUUAACUGCAAACAAAGACAAAGAAAUGCAAGGUAUUAGCAGUGCUUUUUGUGGCACUUUCCAAUUUUCUGGGUGUCAAGAGGCAAUUGUGACUACAGCAUUAGCAGUGUAACUCUGGCUUCCUGAUUACUGGAUUGCAGCAAGAGGAGUAUAUUCAUAACUCACAGUUGCAGCAACCAUAUUAGCUAUAACUGGCUCUUGGGUGGAUCAUUACUGCACUCCCUAAAAUCAUUCCAGCAAGAACAGCCUAGAACUCAUAUCUUAGAUCUUCCAACUAUUUUAUAAGCAUCAAAUUCUCUUGUAUUAAAUAUCUUCCUGUUUUAAAUAAAUGUAAUUUUUGUUUCCUGAACUAAAUCCUGACUCACACUAUUUGAUGUAUCUGUGUGUCUGUGGAACUAAUACUAAAGUUUCAUGAAAAUCCCCUUUUUAUGUGUGAUACAUUAAUUUUUCUAUUUUACUUUCCUAUUUACAAUUCUCUUAAGUUUACAGUCACUCUUAAAUUUCCAUGCUAUUCUAUGUCUAUUCAUUAAAUAAAAUGCUAAUUGCAAUGUUUUAAAUCUACUUCAUGACCCACCAAUGGGUUACAAGCUUGAGUUAAAAGACACUGCUUACAGCAUGAUCUCAUUAAGAGAGUUGAAGUAUAUUGCAGAAUAUCACAACUGCGUUAUUUAUUUUUCUUUUAUUCCAUCCUGGUCUUCAUGAUAGACAAUCGAAGCUUUUCCAGCUAUCAUCUUAUUGGCCUCUACCUAAAUAGGAGACAGCAUUCAGGCAAGUCUCCACAUAGCUAAGAAAUGUUUUCAACAAAUAAGCAAAAAUGGAGAACAGAAAAUAAUAAUAAGAAAAUCGUAUGACUGACAUUAAGGUUUGGGGGAAACUGCUCUUGAUCUAAAAAGAACGCAAGGUUUUUUUAUAAAACCAUUUUCUGAAAGCUUUCAUUGACC